GACGAACGCUGGCGGCGUGCUUAACACAUGCAAGUCGAACGAAGUGGCGAACGGGUGAGUAACGCGUAAUCAACCUGCCCUUCAGAGGGGGACAACAGUUGGAAACGACUGCUAAUACCGCAUACUGAAGGCGUGGAUUGCGUCUGAUUAGCUAGUUGGAGGGGGAACGGCCCACCAAGGCGAUGAUCAGUAGCCGGUCUGAGAGGAUGAACGGCCGCAUUGGGACUGUGACACGUCCCAGACUCCUACGGGAGUCAGCAGUGGGGAAUCUUCCGCAAUGGACGAAAGUCUGACGGAGCAACGCCGCGUGAGUGAUGACGGCCUUCGGGUUGUAAAGCUCUGUUGUUAGAGAAGCGGUAUCUAACCAGAAAGCCACGGCUAACUACGUGCCAGCCGCCGCGGUAAUUC
Molecule: ribosomal RNA, 408 nt
Filed under: uncultured bacterium
Lineage: Bacteria
Description: partial 16S ribosomal RNA
Rfam family: Bacterial small subunit ribosomal RNA
Source: RNAcentral